This 895-nucleotide ribosomal RNA is filed under the name Paramycosphaerella marksii. RNAcentral's name for it is "eukaryotic LSU rRNA". It matches the Rfam family "Eukaryotic large subunit ribosomal RNA", at positions 36 to 964 of the family's 3401-position model. The record is from RNAcentral. Lineage: Eukaryota; Fungi; Ascomycota; Dothideomycetes; Mycosphaerellales; Mycosphaerellaceae.
AAGCAUAUCAAUAAGCGGAGGAAAAGAAAGCAACAGGGAUUGCCCUAGUAACGGCGAGUGAAGCGGCAACAGCUCAAAUUUGAAAUCUGGCGCAAGCCCGAGUUGUAAUUUGUAGAGGAUGCUUCUGGGCAGCGGCCGUUCUAAGUUCCUUGGAACAGGACGUCAUAGAGGGUGAGAAUCCCGUAUGUGACCGGCGCGCACCCUCCACGUAGCUCCUUCGACGAGUCGAGUUGUUUGGGAAUGCAGCUCUAAAUGGGAGGUAAAUUUCUUCUAAAGCUAAAUACCGGCCAGAGACCGAUAGCGCACAAGUAGAGUGAUCGAAAGAUGAAAAGCACUUUGGAAAGAGAGUUAAAAAGCACGUGAAAUUGUUGAAAGGGAAGCGCUUGCAACCAGACUUCGCGGCGGUGUUCCGCCGGUCUUUUGACCGGUCUACUCGCCGCCGCGAGGCCAACAUCGUCUGGGGCCGCCGGAUAAGACCAUGGGAAUGUGGCUCCCUCGGGAGUGUUAUAGCCCACGGUGAUGCGGCGUGUCCCGGGCGAGGUCCGCGCUUCGGCAAGGAUGUUGGCGUAAUGGUUGCCAGCGGCCCGUCUUGAAACACGGACCAAGGAGUCUAACAUCUAUGCGAGUGUUCGGGUGUCAAACCCCUACGCGUAAUGAAAGUGAACGGAGGUGGGAGCUUCGGCGCACCAUCGACCGAUCCUGAUGUCCUCGGAUGGAUUUGAGUAAGAGCAUAGCUGUUGGGACCCGAAAGAUGGUGAACUAUGCCUGAAUAGGGUGAAGCCAGAGGAAACUCUGGUGGAGGCUCGCAGCGGUUCUGACGUGCAAAUCGAUCGUCAAAUUUGGGUAUAGGGGCGAAAGACUAAUCGAACCAUUCUAGUAGCUGGGUUCCUGCCGA